UACGAAGGGGGCUAGCGUUGUUCGGAAUUACUGGGCGUAAAGCGCGUGUAGGCGGGCCGUUAAGUCGGGGGUGAAAGCCCAGAGCUCAACUCUGGAAUUGCCUUCGAUACUGGCGGCCUGUAGCAUGAUAGAGGCGAGUGGAAUUGUGAGUGUAGAGGUGAAAUUCGUAGAUAUUUGCAGGAACACCAGUGGCGAAGGCGACUCGCUGGAUCAUUGCUGACGCUGAGACGCGAAAGCGUGGGGAGCAAACAGG
This 253-nucleotide ribosomal RNA is filed under the name uncultured bacterium. RNAcentral's name for it is "partial 16S ribosomal RNA". It matches the Rfam family "Bacterial small subunit ribosomal RNA", at positions 524 to 776 of the family's 1533-position model. The record is from RNAcentral.